Non-coding RNA from Epinephelus lanceolatus (giant grouper), 684 nucleotides. NCBI's taxonomy places the organism in Eukaryota, Metazoa, Chordata, Actinopteri, Perciformes, Serranidae. The record is from RefSeq and is a predicted model, not a curated record.
GAGAGGCUCUGGUGUGGGGACUGCUGGUUCUGCUGCCUCUCACCAUGGGUUUUUGUUGUCUUUUUUGUUUUAAUUCUAAAAAAUCCCAUGGAUUUGAGUGCUUUAAAGGUGUUCAUGUGAUUAUUUUGGGUUGUAUUUUGGGUUGUUCGCCCCAUAGGGCCGUCUAAGGGUGGGGUGUAACAAAUGGGGGCUCGUCUGGGAGAGAACAUCCAUAAGGUGAAAUAUCCAAAUUUGACCCAAAGGUGCUACUAAUCUGGGUGUUUAGUUGUGUUCAUCUUAAUAUACAGCCUUGAUCUAUCCAGGUGUGCUGCAUUACCGAAUGAGGUGCAGCACACCUGGCAUGGAGGAGGUGCUUAAGAGCUCCUGUGGCAGCAGCAGAGGAGAGAGGCUCUGGUGUGGGUACUGCAGGUCCUGCUGCCUCUCACCGAGGGAUUUUUGUUUUGUUUGCCUGUUUUCAAUUCUAAUAAUUCCCAUGGAAUUCAUGUGAUUGUUAUGGGUCAGUGUUGGAGUUUUGUUCGCCCCAUAGGGCUGCCUAAGGGUGGGGCGUAACAGUAACCAAGUGCAUUUACUAAAGUACUGAUAACUUUGAGGUACUUGAGUAUUUUUGUGUUACUUCAAGCUUUAAUUCUACUAUAUUCUUGAUUAAAAAAUUUCACUUCACUUCCCACAUUAACAGCACCGCUC